UGAUAUGAAAUAAGAUAGGAAGUGGAUAUUCGUCCGACAUUUCCAUAUCGUUAAAGUCGUUAAAAAUAAAACAGCGUAAAUUUAAUUGAAUUUCAAGCGAAUCCUUCGUAGUGUAGUGGUUUAGGCACCCGUAUUGUGUGCGCCAAGUUCUGGGAUCGAUUCCUGCUCGCGCCACUACUUUAUUAUUUUUUUUUAUACUUUUUUUUUCUUCGUGAUUUUCGCUUACGCACCGCGUACGAAACGUAUAGCGUAUCGAAUAUGUUGUUGCUUCGUUCUUAA
This is a non-coding RNA of Paramuricea clavata, 279 nucleotides long. Lineage: Eukaryota; Metazoa; Cnidaria; Anthozoa; Malacalcyonacea; Plexauridae. The record is from the annotation of a GenBank genome assembly.